This 253-nucleotide ribosomal RNA is filed under the name uncultured bacterium. Its description in RNAcentral is "partial 16S ribosomal RNA". It matches the Rfam family "Bacterial small subunit ribosomal RNA", at positions 524 to 776 of the family's 1533-position model. The record is from RNAcentral.
UACGUAGGGUGCAAGCGUUGAUCGGAAUUACUGGGCGUAAAGCGUGCGCAGGCGGUGAUGUAAGACCGAUGUGAAAUCCCCGGGCUUAACCUGGGAACUGCAUUGGUGACUGCAUCGCUCGAGUAUGGCAGAGGGGGGUAGAAUUCCACGUGUAGCAGUGAAAUGCGUAGAGAUGUGGAGGAAUACCGAUGGCGAAGGCAGCCCCCUGGGUCAAUACUGACGCUCAUGCACGAAAGCGUGGGGAGCAAACAGG